Molecule: long non-coding RNA, 501 nt
Organism: Equus quagga
Lineage: Eukaryota; Metazoa; Chordata; Mammalia; Perissodactyla; Equidae
Exons: 3
Source: RefSeq, a predicted model, not a curated record
AUGAUCACCCCCAAAUUGUGUGGGAGUGAGUUGGGCCCCCGUGGCUGCUGCUGAUUGGUCAAGAUAGAGUUACGCGGACCAAUAAGAAAAAGAAAGGAAAUCUGAUGGCCUAUGGGAAGAGAACAGCAGACUGAGCCCACGUUGGGCACACUGGAGACAAAGAGACAAGAAUACCCAGCCCUCGCUUUCCAGAAGUUCACAGUCUGGAAGGGGAGACAGCUAGAAACAGCUACAUCCAAGUGUGAUGAAUAUGGUGGCAGAGUUGCAGCCACCAUGCUGUGAGGAAGCCCAAGCAGUCCUGUGGGGAGGCCCCUGGAGAGGAGAAUCGAGGCCCCAGCCAACAGCCAGAACCUACUCGCCAGUUGUGCAAGUGAGCCACCUUGGAAGUGAAUCUUCCAGCCCCAGUUGAGCUGUUCCAGACGACGCCACAUGGAGGAGAGAAGAGCUGCCCACGCAAGGCCUUGCCCAAAUUGCAAAGUGGUGAGGAAAUAAAUGAGUGUU